AUGUGGAGCAAAUCCCGAAAAAAUUGUCUCAGUUCAGAUUGCAGGCUGCAACUCGCCUGCAUGAAGUCGGAAUUGCUAGUAAUCGCAGAUCAGAAUGCUGCGGUGAAUACGUUCCCGGGCCUUGUACACACCGCCCGUCACACCAUGGGAGUCGGUAACACCCGAAGCCUGUAGUCUAACCUUUAAGGGGGACGCAAUCGAAGGUGGGAUUGAUGACUGGGGUGAAGUCGUAACAAGGUACC
Molecule: ribosomal RNA, 242 nt
Filed under: uncultured bacterium
Lineage: Bacteria
Description: partial 16S ribosomal RNA
Rfam family: Bacterial small subunit ribosomal RNA
Source: RNAcentral